UACGGAGGGUGCAAGCGUUAUCCGGAAUCACUGGGUUUAAAGGGUGCGUAGGCGGUCUGAUCAGUCAGAGGUGAAAUCUCCUUGCUCAACGAGGAAAUUGCCUUUGAUACUGUCGGACUUGAAUCAGGUUGAGGUGGGCGGAAUGUGGCAUGUAGCGGUGAAAUGCUUAGAUAUGCCAUAGAACACCAAUUGCGAAGGCAGCUCACUAGACCUGCAUUGACGCUGAGUCACGAAAGCGUGGGUAGCGAACAGG
RNAcentral lists this unclassified non-coding RNA (253 nucleotides) under uncultured Saprospiraceae bacterium. RNAcentral's name for it is "contains 16S-23S intergenic spacer region". It matches the Rfam family "Bacterial small subunit ribosomal RNA", at positions 524 to 776 of the family's 1533-position model. Lineage: Bacteria; Pseudomonadati; Bacteroidota; Saprospiria; Saprospirales; Saprospiraceae. The record is from RNAcentral.